RNAcentral lists this ribosomal RNA (324 nucleotides) under Dientamoeba fragilis. RNAcentral describes it as "SSU rRNA". It matches the Rfam family "Eukaryotic small subunit ribosomal RNA", at positions 406 to 797 of the family's 1831-position model. The record is from RNAcentral. Lineage: Eukaryota; Parabasalia; Tritrichomonadida; Dientamoebidae.
GCGACUAUAUCCACGGGUAGCAGCAGGCGCGAAACUUACCCACUCGAGACUAUCGGAGGUGGUAAUGACCAGUUAUAAUUAAGGAAUUUUCCUUAUUAUAUAGGAAUAUACUUUUCCAGUAUAUUGUAACCUAGCAGAGGGCCAGUCUGGUGCCAGCAGCUGCGGUAAUUCCAGCUCUGCAAGUUUGCUCCCAUAUUGUUGUAGUUAAAACGCUCGUAGUCUGAAUUAUUUUAAUUUAAAUUUUUUAAAUUAAAAUUUAGUUUUUAUUUUAUAAAAACGUUCACUGUGAACAAAUCAGAACGCUUAAAGUAAUUUUCUUUAUUG